This 274-nucleotide ribosomal RNA is filed under the name uncultured bacterium. Its description in RNAcentral is "partial 16S ribosomal RNA". It matches the Rfam family "Bacterial small subunit ribosomal RNA", at positions 523 to 796 of the family's 1533-position model. The record is from RNAcentral.
AUACGGAGGGUGCAAGCGUUAUCCGGAAUCAUUGGGUUUAAAGGGUCCGUAGGCGGGCUAUUAAGUCAGAGGUGAAAUCCCACAGCUCAACUGUGGAACUGCCUUUGAUACUGAUAGUCUUGAGUUACAGUGAAGUAGAUAGAAUAUGUAGUGUAGCGGUGAAAUGCAUAGAUAUUACAUAGAAUACCGAUUGCGAAGGCAGUCUACUAACUGUAUACUGACGCUGAUGGACGAAAGCGUGGGGAGCGAACAGGAUUAGAAACCCUUGUAGUCC